RNAcentral lists this ribosomal RNA (253 nucleotides) under uncultured bacterium. Its description in RNAcentral is "partial 16S ribosomal RNA". It matches the Rfam family "Bacterial small subunit ribosomal RNA", at positions 524 to 776 of the family's 1533-position model. RNAcentral also lists the same sequence under 1 other name. The record is from RNAcentral.
GACAGAGGGUGCUAGCGUUGUUCGGAAUUACUGGGCGUAAAGGGCGCGUAGGCGGCUUGGCAAGUCGGAUGUGAAAGCCCGGGGCUCAACCCCGGAACUGCAUUCGAGACUGUCCGGCUGGAGUCCGGAAGAGGAAGGUGGAAUACCCAGUGUAGAGGUGAAAUUCGUAGAUAUUGGGUGGAACACCAGUGGCGAAGGCGGCCUUCUGGUCCGGAACUGACGCUGAGGCGCGAAAGCGUGGGGAGCAAACAGG